GAUGAACGCUAGCGGCAGGCUUAACACAUGCAAGUCGAGGGGUAUAGUUCUUCGGAGCUAGAGACCGGCGCACGGGUGCGUAACGCGUAUGCAAUCUGCCUUCCACAGAGGGAUAGCCCAGAGAAAUUUGGAUUAAUACUCCAUAUCAUCAUUUUCCGGCAUCGGAAUAUGCUUAAAGACACAACGUCGGAAGAUGAGCAUGCAUCCAAUUAGCUAGUUUGUAAGGUAACGGCUUACCAAGGCGACGAUGGGUAGGGGUCCAGAGAGUGAGAUCCCCCACACUGGUACUGAGACACGGACCAGGCCCCUACGGGAGGCAGCGGUGAGGAAUAUUGGUCAAUGGGCGCAAGCCUGAACCAGCCAUGCCGCGUGCAGGAUGACGGUCCUAUGGAUUGUAAACUGCUUUUGUACGGGAAGAAACACUCCCUCGUGAGGGAGCUUGACGGUACCGUAAGAAUAAGGAUCGGCUAACUCCGUGCCAGCCGCCGCAGUAA
Molecule: ribosomal RNA, 494 nt
Filed under: uncultured bacterium
Lineage: Bacteria
Description: partial 16S ribosomal RNA
Rfam family: Bacterial small subunit ribosomal RNA
Source: RNAcentral